Molecule: ribosomal RNA, 365 nt
Filed under: uncultured Geobacillus sp.
Lineage: Bacteria; Bacillati; Bacillota; Bacilli; Caryophanales; Anoxybacillaceae
Description: bacterial SSU rRNA
Rfam family: Bacterial small subunit ribosomal RNA
Source: RNAcentral
ACGUUCGGUACAUCGGUGACAGGUGGUGCAUGGUUGUCGUCAGCUCGUGUCGUGAGAUGUUGGGUUAAGUCCCGCAACGAGCGCAACCCCUAUUGUUAGUUGCCAUCAUUCAGUUGGGCACUCUAGCGAGACUGCCGGUAAUAAACCGGAGGAAGUGGGGAUGACGUCAAAUCAUCAUGCCCCUUAUGACCUGGGCUACACACGUGCUACAAUGGGCGGUACAAAGGGCUGCGAACCCGCGAGGGGGAGCGAAUCCCAAAAAGCCGCUCUCAGUUCGGAUUGCAGGCUGCAACUCGCCUGCAUGAAGCCGGAAUCGCUAGUAAUCGCGGAUCAGCAUGCCGCGGUCGAAUACGUUCCCGGGCCUU